This 398-nucleotide ribosomal RNA is filed under the name Cryptosporidium environmental sequence. Its description in RNAcentral is "partial small subunit ribosomal RNA". It matches the Rfam family "Eukaryotic small subunit ribosomal RNA", at positions 662 to 1064 of the family's 1831-position model. Lineage: Eukaryota; Apicomplexa; Conoidasida; Eucoccidiorida; Cryptosporidiidae. The record is from RNAcentral.
UGUUAAUAAUUUAUAUAAAAUAUUUUGAUGAAUAUUUAUAUAAUAUUAACAUAAUUCAUAUUACUAUUUUUUUUUUUAGUAUAUGAAAUUUUACUUUGAGAAAAUUAGAGUGCUUAAAGCAGGCAUAUGCCUUGAAUACUCCAGCAUGGAAUAAUAUUAAAGAUUUUUAUCUUUUUUAUUGGUUCUAAGAUAAGAAUAAUGAUUAAUAGGGACAGUUGGGGGCAUUUGUAUUUAACAGUCAGAGGUGAAAUUCUUAGAUUUGUUAAAGACAAACUAAUGCGAAAGCAUUUGCCAAGGAUGUUUUCAUUAAUCAAGAACGAAAGUUAGGGGAUCGAAGACGAUCAGAUACCGUCGUAGUCUUAACCAUAAACUAUGCCAACUAGAGAUUGGAGGUUGUU